This is a non-coding RNA of Erythranthe guttata (spotted monkey flower), 1902 nucleotides long. The record is from RefSeq and is a predicted model, not a curated record. Lineage: Eukaryota; Viridiplantae; Streptophyta; Magnoliopsida; Lamiales; Phrymaceae.
UUUUAAGAACUCUGUAAAACGCCCUAAUUAUUUUAUUCCAAACGCAGCAGAUCGAAGUCAUCCGACGAAGAAGAAUAGAGAUAUCCGAUCCGCCGAAGAAGAAGAAGAAUUCUGCGGCGAAGAAGAAAAAGAAGAGUCGUACAACAAAGAAGAAGAAGAGUUGUCCAACAAAGAAGAAGAAGAGUUUUCCGUUGAGAUUUGUUUUCAUUUUCCCCUCUUUCUUCAUCAGGGCACGUUCAAAUUGAGAACCCAGUACAAACGCAACGAAGAGUUCUCAAUUUUAAGAAGAAGGUAAUUUCCAUUCUUUCUUCUCUUUAAUAUUCUUAAUUUGUAUGAAAAGUUCUCAUCUAAUUAACUGUAUUCAAGCCCUAACCCCUACUUUUAUAAUACUAAAACCAUAUUUGUGUUUGUCUGAUAUAAAAAUUCAAAAUACUAAAUUUAAUGUAAACUAGGAAGUUGUAUACUAUUCAAUUUUAAUUGCCCUGGACUUCUGCACAAAGAUCUUGAAGGUCUUUUCAUAUGUGGCAUUGGCAAAUGCCCUUUCACUUCUUCUUGUCUUUGUAUUUGCUAAACAACUAUGGUACAAAGUAAAAUCUGAUAAUACAUACUGGGAGAAAAAUAAGUUAUGGUCAUUCCCUUUCACUCUUGAUUGAUUAAUGAAUUUUAAUUUUCAACUUCUUAGGUAAAUUUUUUGACAAUUGUUUUUAUCACUAACGCCAUAAAUUUGUCGAGUGCAUAUUAUUUAUAUUUUGGGACAAAUUUUACUAAAUACAUAUCAGAUCAUGCCAUUAGUUUCAGGUUUUGCUCCUCUUAGAAGAUAAUCUACACAACUAGAUUGUUCAUUCAUUAUGAGUGUUUGUACAUACGUAUAUUACUUCUUGCUUUUGAAUUGAUUGUUAGCAAUAGUAAAUCUGAUUGAUCAUUGCAAACAUUUUUUAUUGAAUGAUCUUUAUAGGCUUUGUAUUUACAACUCUUUUUAUUGAAUGAUCUUUAUAGGCUUUGUAUUUACUAAACAUUGGUCAUUAAAUUGCAAUCAUAUAUUUACUAGUUUCAUUGCUGGAUUGCAUGAGGUGUAUGUAUCUAUGUGGCAUAUGAAUGAUACGCUAGUGAAACGAUAUAAGGUUAGCUUGAUCUAGUUCCAAUAGAGGUGAUAGCGGACCAUUCUUGUUGCUAUUUCAUUGUUAUUCUUUGGAAUCCUCAUAGUACACUCUAUGCCUUUUCUAUUCUACAUUAAUUUAAAUUCAGUAUUAAUUCCUUCAAUUUAGAGGUGUUUGAAUUAGUAAUAUAAAUUUAUAAAUAACAAAAUUUAGUCGUCUGAAAUAGUGUAAAGAUUGGCCUACAAAGUAUGGUAAGGGCUCAAAAGUUUCUCUGUAAUAAAGCAAACUCCAAGAGCCUGUUUAGACAAAUCUAGAGUGUGUAUGUUAAAUUGCACUUCUGAUUAUAUUGAGUGUAUUUGUAAUCAUAUGAGAUGCUUUGACUUAACAUUUCAGCAAUUAUAGUCCUUGAGUUGUUUGGUUUUUUUAGUAAAUGAAAACCAGUUGGUUAGCCCUUACCAAUUAUAUGGUUUCCCCUUAGUCUUCUACAACUUGUUAUCGUUUUCUGCUUAUCGAGCUCAAGAGCGUCAUCAUCCUUUUAGCAGUCGUUUCGAAAGAUGAGUUUCAUUAUGUUGCAUGAUGCAGUUUAGAAGGAGCUAUUCUUGUUUUAUUUUCAUAAGUCAUGGUUAGAUCUUAGUUGUUUUGUUUUACAAGAUUGUAAUAGUACUUGUUGAAUUUACUGAUCAAAUGUUGAUGAAAUUUUCAUGAUUAUUGAUUGAUCAUGUUUAUGUUCAACUGUUGUAUUCAAUUCAUUUUUCUAUGUAUUUCUAAAUGUAAAUGUUGCAGUAGGAUAAUUGGGAUUGAUAGU